RNAcentral lists this ribosomal RNA (710 nucleotides) under Persicaria viscosa. RNAcentral's name for it is "eukaryotic LSU rRNA". The stretch from base 275 to 430 matches the Rfam family "5.8S ribosomal RNA". Lineage: Eukaryota; Viridiplantae; Streptophyta; Magnoliopsida; Caryophyllales; Polygonaceae. The record is from RNAcentral.
GUAGGUGAAGCUGCGGAAGGAUCAUUGUCGAAACCUGCACAAGCAGAAAGACCCGCGAACCCGUUUACAAACACUGGGAGGACGGCGCUCGGCCAAACACCGGCGCCGUUCCCCCGAGCUCGGCGAGAGCCCGACUCCCCGCGAGUCGGGCUCCAACCGACACCAACAAACCCCGGCGCGGAUUGCGCCAAGGACCAUGAACAAUAGCGCGUCCCAUGCCGCUCGGUUGCCCGAAGUGCGCGUGGGGCGACGUGUCGUUUCGAUACAUUAGAACGACUCUCGGCAACGGAUAUCUCGGCUCUCGCAUCGAUGAAGAACGUAGCGAAAUGCGAUACUUGGUGUGAAUUGCAGAAUCCCGUGAACCAUCGAGUCUUUGAACGCAAGUUGCGCCCGAAGCCUUCGGGCCAAGGGCACGUCUGCCUGGGCGUCACGCACCGCGUCGCCCCCCACCCCAACCAAGGGGCGUGGGGGCGGAUUAUGGCCCCCCGUGCGCUCCCCGCUCGCGGUCGGCCUAAACACAGACCCCGUGGCCGCAAAACGCCACGACGAUUGGUGGUUUACUUGUGGCCUUGUGCCCCGAGCAUCGCGUCGUGGCCUUGGCGGCCCAUGGGAGCUCAAAGGACCCCGAGGAGGACCCCGUCACCCCGAGUGCCGUGGGGAUCUCCUAACCGUUGCGACCCCAGGUCAGGCGGGACUACCCGCUGAGUUUA